This 70-nucleotide ribosomal RNA is filed under the name Hymenobacter negativus. Its description in RNAcentral is "partial 16S ribosomal RNA". It matches the Rfam family "Bacterial small subunit ribosomal RNA", at positions 1464 to 1533 of the family's 1533-position model. The record is from RNAcentral. RNAcentral also lists the same sequence under 1 other name. Lineage: Bacteria; Pseudomonadati; Bacteroidota; Cytophagia; Cytophagales; Hymenobacteraceae.
AGAACAGGUAAUUAGGGCUAAGUCGUAACAAGGUAGCCGUACCGGAAGGUGCGGCUGGAUCACCUCCUUU